UGGGGAAUAUUGGACAAUGGGCGCAAGCCUGAUCCAGCAACGCCGCGUGGAGGACGAAGGUCUUCGGAUCGUAAACUCCUGUCAGGCGGGACGAAGGCUUCCGGGCAAAUAGUCCGGAAGCUUGACGGUACUGCCAGAGGAAGCCCCGGCUAACUCCGUGCCAGCAGCCGCGGUAAGACGAAGGGGGCUAGCGUUGUUCGGAAUUACUGGGCGUAAAGGGCGCGCAGGCGGUCUUGCAAGUCGGGCGUUAAAGACCUGGGCUUAACCCGGGGAAUGCGCUCGAUACUGCGAGGCUUGAGAUCGAGAGAGGAGAGUGGAAUUCCCAGUGUAGAGGUGAAAUUCGUAGAUAUUGGGAAGAACACCGGUGGCGAAGGCGGCUCUCUGGCUCGAUUCUGACGCUGAGGCGCGAAAGCGUGGGGAGCAAA
Molecule: ribosomal RNA, 425 nt
Filed under: uncultured bacterium
Lineage: Bacteria
Description: bacterial SSU rRNA
Rfam family: Bacterial small subunit ribosomal RNA
Source: RNAcentral